RNAcentral lists this ribosomal RNA (2787 nucleotides) under human gut metagenome. RNAcentral describes it as "bacterial LSU rRNA". It matches the Rfam family "Bacterial large subunit ribosomal RNA". The record is from RNAcentral.
AGCGUACACGGUGGAUGCCCUGGCAGUCAGAGGCGAUGAAGGACGUGCUAAUCUGCGAUAAGCGUCGGUAAGGUGAUAUGAACCGUUAUAACCGGCGAUUUCCGAAUGGGGAAACCCAGUGUGAUUCGUCACACUAUCAUUAACUGAAUCCAUAGGUUAAUGAGGCGAACCGGGGGAACUGAAACAUCUAAGUACCCCGAGGAAAAGAAAUCAACCGAGAUUCCCCCAGUAGCGGCGAGCGAACGGGGAGCAGCCCAGAGCCUGAAUCAGUGUGUGUGUUAGUGGAAGCGUCUGGAAAGGCGCGCGAUACAGGGUGACAGCCCCGUACACAAAAAUGCACAUACUGUGAGCUCGAUGAGUAGGGCGGGACACGUGGUAUCCUGUCUGAAUAUGGGGGGACCAUCCUCCAAGGCUAAAUACUCCUGACUGACCGAUAGUGAACCAGUACCGUGAGGGAAAGGCGAAAAGAACCCCGGCGAGGGGAGUGAAAAAGAACCUGAAACCGUGUACGUACAAGCAGUGGGAGCACGCUUAGGCGUGUGACUGCGUACCUUUUGUAUAAUGGGUCAGCGACUUAUAUUCUGUAGCAAGGUUAACCGAAUAGGGGAGCCGAAGGGAAACCGAGUCUUAACUGGGCGUUAAGUUGCAGGGUAUAGACCCGAAACCCGGUGAUCUAGCCAUGGGCAGGUUGAAGGUUGGGUAACACUAACUGGAGGACCGAACCGACUAAUGUUGAAAAAUUAGCGGAUGACUUGUGGCUGGGGGUGAAAGGCCAAUCAAACCGGGAGAUAGCUGGUUCUCCCCGAAAGCUAUUUAGGUAGCGCCUCGUGAAUUCAUCUCCGGGGGUAGAGCACUGUUUCGGCAAGGGGGUCAUCCCGACUUACCAACCCGAUGCAAACUGCGAAUACCGGAGAAUGUUAUCACGGGAGACACACGGCGGGUGCUAACGUCCGUCGUGAAGAGGGAAACAACCCAGACCGCCAGCUAAGGUCCCAAAGUCAUGGUUAAGUGGGAAACGAUGUGGGAAGGCCCAGACAGCCAGGAUGUUGGCUUAGAAGCAGCCAUCAUUUAAAGAAAGCGUAAUAGCUCACUGGUCGAGUCGGCCUGCGCGGAAGAUGUAACGGGGCUAAACCAUGCACCGAAGCUGCGGCAGCGACGCUGAUGCGUUGUUGGGUAGGGGAGCGUUCUGUAAGCCUGUGAAGGUGUACUGUGAGGUAUGCUGGAGGUAUCAGAAGUGCGAAUGCUGACAUAAGUAACGAUAAAGCGGGUGAAAAGCCCGCUCGCCGGAAGACCAAGGGUUCCUGUCCAACGUUAAUCGGGGCAGGGUGAGUCGACCCCUAAGGCGAGGCCGAAAGGCGUAGUCGAUGGGAAACAGGUUAAUAUUCCUGUACUUGGUGUUACUGCGAAGGGGGGACGGAGAAGGCUAUGUUGGCCGGGCGACGGUUGUCCCGGUUUAAGCGUGUAGGCUGGUUUUCCAGGCAAAUCCGGAAAAUCAAGGCUGAGGCGUGAUGACGAGGCACUACGGUGCUGAAGCAACAAAUGCCCUGCUUCCAGGAAAAGCCUCUAAGCAUCAGGUAACAUCAAAUCGUACCCCAAACCGACACAGGUGGUCAGGUAGAGAAUACCAAGGCGCUUGAGAGAACUCGGGUGAAGGAACUAGGCAAAAUGGUGCCGUAACUUCGGGAGAAGGCACGCUGAUAUGUAGGUGAAGUCCCUUGCGGAUGGAGCUGAAAUCAGUCGAAGAUACCAGCUGGCUGCAACUGUUUAUUAAAAACACAGCACUGUGCAAACACGAAAGUGGACGUAUACGGUGUGACGCCUGCCCGGUGCCGGAAGGUUAAUUGAUGGGGUUAGCGCAAGCGAAGCUCUUGAUCGAAGCCCCGGUAAACGGCGGCCGUAACUAUAACGGUCCUAAGGUAGCGAAAUUCCUUGUCGGGUAAGUUCCGACCUGCACGAAUGGCGUAAUGAUGGCCAGGCUGUCUCCACCCGAGACUCAGUGAAAUUGAACUCGCUGUGAAGAUGCAGUGUACCCGCGGCAAGACGGAAAGACCCCGUGAACCUUUACUAUAGCUUGACACUGAACAUUGAGCCUUGAUGUGUAGGAUAGGUGGGAGGCUUUGAAGUGUGGACGCCAGUCUGCAUGGAGCCGACCUUGAAAUACCACCCUUUAAUGUUUGAUGUUCUAACGUUGACCCGUGAUCCGGGUUGCGGACAGUGUCUGGUGGGUAGUUUGACUGGGGCGGUCUCCUCCUAAAGAGUAACGGAGGAGCACGAAGGUUGGCUAAUCCUGGUCGGACAUCAGGAGGUUAGUGCAAUGGCAUAAGCCAGCUUGACUGCGAGCGUGACGGCGCGAGCAGGUGCGAAAGCAGGUCAUAGUGAUCCGGUGGUUCUGAAUGGAAGGGCCAUCGCUCAACGGAUAAAAGGUACUCCGGGGAUAACAGGCUGAUACCGCCCAAGAGUUCAUAUCGACGGCGGUGUUUGGCACCUCGAUGUCGGCUCAUCACAUCCUGGGGCUGAAGUAGGUCCCAAGGGUAUGGCUGUUCGCCAUUUAAAGUGGUACGCGAGCUGGGUUUAGAACGUCGUGAGACAGUUCGGUCCCUAUCUGCCGUGGGCGCUGGAGAACUGAGGGGGGCUGCUCCUAGUACGAGAGGACCGGAGUGGACGCAUCACUGGUGUUCGGGUUGUCAUGCCAAUGGCACUGCCCGGUAGCUAAAUGCGGAAGAGAUAAGUGCUGAAAGCAUCUAAGCACGAAACUUGCCCCGAGAUGAGUUCUCCCUGACUCCUUGA